AAAUUUGAAGUGCCCACUUCACCCGUGGCUGCAGGAGAGGAGGGGGGGAAGCAACCGAGGAGGAAGGAGGAGACUCGAAUGUCCUGACCACCCCAGUACCAACCAAGCCGGCCUGGGAGAUCCCGGUGGCAGCGCUGAGGCCCAAAAUGGACCACGGCCUGAUUUCCAAACCUCCGAUUGGCUCGGCUUCUCCGAGGAUACCAGAAGAAUGAAGACUGCCUUGAGAGAAGACCUUCCAUCUGGAUCGGGCGGCAAGUGGUGGAUAAAGGGAAAACCCUUUUAGGCCCCUAGCUGACCCCUCCAGCUGUAUCCCAGGUCUUUGGGGCCAGGAAGAUGGAGGAGAAAAAUAGUUUCCUUCAGGCAAAGAAUCUCCUGCUUUUAUUUAUCCACUUAAGGUCUUCAUGGCCUGAAAGGAGCCUAUGGGGGUAAAACAGAAUUUUCUUUUAGGCAAAAAAUCUCUGGGUUAUUUGAUGACUUAAGGAUUUAGGGGCUUUCAAAGAAAAUACAUGAGGAGCGAGAGGAGAGCUGUCCUUUAUGGCGAAGCAUCUCCCGUGUCUUAGUCAAUCUCAGGUUUUCAAGGCUUAGAAGAGAACAUUUGCAGUGACAAUGGACAAAUUGGCUUUAGGCAUGCCAGCUCCAGCUUUAAUUUCUCCAAGGUCUUCAAGGCUUCCAAAGAGAACAUUUGAGGCUUCGAUGGAGAAAUUGGCUUCAUGCUAUUCAUCUCCUAAUUUGAUUUCUUUACCGAAGGUGUUCAAGGCCUUCAAAGAGAGUCACUGAGGCUGGAAUGCAGAAAUUUGCUUCAUGCCAGCCAUCUCCCGCUUUCACUUCUCAACCUAAAGUCUUCAGCCCAAAAAAGAGAAUAUAAAAGAGAAAAGGACAAGUUUUCUUCAUGGAAACAAUCUCCUGCUGCUGUUUCUCCCCUUGAGAGCCAGAAAAGGCAAUCCAUGAGUUUCAUCAAGGAGCAAACCCUCUCCUGCUGACCUGUCUAAGGUCUUCAAGACCUGAAGAGAAAAUAUAUGAAUGGAGAAGGAGACAUUUGCUUUGUGAAGAAACAUCUUUCUGUGUUGAGCCCUUCAACGUAGAGUUGAGAUGACAAAGGAGGCAGUGGAGGUAGCCCACCUGGACUGCAGUAAAGAGAAUAGAUUCCUCGCCGCAGUCUAACUGGUUCCAUGCAAAAAUCUAAGUUUGCAUCCUCCUGAGCCCUCUUCAGGCUCCACCCCUGGUCUUUAUGGCCUGGGGUUUGGGAGAGAGCAAGGAGGUAGGAAUGGAGUGAAGAGUUUCCUGCUAAUUCCCCCUAAUAAUCCCGGAAAGGGUUUUCCCUUUAUCCUACCACUCUGCCUUCUCAACCUCGGACCAAGUUACCAAGCCCCUCUGGGCUGUCUGACCAGGGCCAGGCUCCGCCACUCGAGAAAGGCUCCGUUUCCUCCAUAGAAAGUUCAGCUUUUGAAGAAUAGAGGAUGAAGGAGAAUCGACUGAUCAUGGGGUUUGGAGAAAGUCCGGCUACUGGUUAAGGGGCAACUGUUCUGGACCCAAGGCUCAGUCUCGACCCUCUGGUCCAGGCUCUUGGAGGGUGAUAGAAGAAAAUUUGAGGUGGAGGAGGAGGGAGGGAUUUGGCAUCAUGCCCAGUUCUUGAAAAACAUAGCUUCAUGUCAAACUCAGCCUCUCCUCUGCUGAUCUCCUGCCUUGGGCCUUCAAGGCCCAGGGGCGAGUAGGGAGAAAGUAGCUUCAUGUAAAAAUGUCUUGUUGGCUACAUUGUCUCCCAUCCUGGCUACUCCGGUCUUUGUGGUGGGUGGUGGGAACAGUGGGACGGGGGGGACCCCCCAGACAAACUCUUCAGGUGGCAAGUGGGAGAUUGUCUUUUUGCACAAGCUCCUGGAAAGCAUGCUCCAGCCUCCCAAGAACUCUCCCAAGUUUGGUCUUUAUGGCUGCACUUCUGGACCAAGAGAUUUUCCCCAUAGACAAUCUGGGAUAUUUCUCUCGUGAGCUUUGGAUUUUCAGAGAGGUUAGAGCUGCUCGAAUUGCUCCGUGUUGGUUCAGUUUUCCUGUGAAUAAGUCAUCCGGCACUGUAGGGAAAUACCUUUCGAGAUUCUAUAGUGUUAUGUCAGGAUUGAUUACAAUCGCAAAACUGUUUGAGGAAAGCCCAACAGAGUUAAGUCCUUGUCCUUCUCUAAAUCCUGGUUGACCAGCUCAAUGUUCAAUGGAAUGGUAUUUUUCUCUCACCCGGUUGACAGGAAACAACUAGAAGACCUAGGAAGUCCAUCGCGCCAGCAUUUCACAAGUCAAUAGAAUAGCUAAAUAAAAUUAAAGUAAAUAUAAAAUGCAACUCCGGGUAGCACAAUAAAAUACAAUAAAAUAGUUUAAAAUAAAAGUAAAUACUAAAAUCAUUACCAUAUAAAAUAAUGACAUAUAAAUGCACACAACACUCAUUCCAUUGAAUGUAGACGUCUGGGGCAUCUGAGGAUCAAAAAACCAAAAUUGUGUGCAUCGGAAGACCGAAAAUGGCGAGGUUUAUCUCUCUGGCUUUAAUAAUGGGAUCUGAUGAAUGGCUUUAUAACCGCAAACUGACUCUAACACUAUAGACCCACCCAGAAACUUUGAGGGAAAAUUGAGUCCGAUUUCCAGGGAGUUUCACCGGGCGCGCUAUGUUUCUGAAUGUCACGUGGAGUAUUUUGUCCUCAACAUUUUGAUUCUGUACAGAUUUUGGGGACUGCUUCUCUAGGCUGGAUCUUGCCUCUCUAUGGUAGGCCCCGGUAGGAACUGAGGUAAGUGUGGUCCCGGAGGGGAAAUGGACUAAUUCCCGGGAAGGGUGGGUUAAAGGGCUAUCCUCAGGGUGGCCCCAGGAGGUGGCAAGUGUUGACUCGGUGAAUGU
Long non-coding RNA from Ornithorhynchus anatinus (platypus), 2869 nucleotides. RefSeq lists it as uncharacterized. The transcript is spliced from 3 exons. Lineage: Eukaryota; Metazoa; Chordata; Mammalia; Monotremata; Ornithorhynchidae. The record is from RefSeq and is a predicted model, not a curated record.